GACGAACGCUGGCGGCGUGCUUAACACAUGCAAGUCGAACGGUGAAGGGAUCAGCUUGCUGGUUCUGGAUGAGUGGCGAACGGGUGAGUAACACGUGAGUAACCUGCCCCCUUCUUCUGGAUAACCGCAUGAAAGUGUGGCUAAUACGGGAUAUUCUGGGUCUGUCGCAUGAUGGGUCUGGGAAAGAUAUUGUUUCGGUGGGGGAUGGGCUCGCGGCCUAUCAGCUUGUUGGUGGGGUGAUGGCCUACCAAGGCGGUGACGGGUAGCCGGCCUGGGAGGGGGGACGGUCACACUGGGACUGAGACACGGCCCAGACUCCUACGGGAGGCAGCAGUGGGGAAUAUUGCACAAUGGGCGCAAGCCUGAUGCAGCGACGCCGCGUGAGGGAUGGAGGCCUUCGGGUUGUAAACCUCUUUCGCCAGUGAAGCAGGCCUGCUCCUUGUGGGUGGGUUGACGGUAGCUGGAUAAGAAGCGCCGGCUAACUACGUG
RNAcentral lists this ribosomal RNA (489 nucleotides) under uncultured bacterium. RNAcentral's name for it is "partial 16S ribosomal RNA". It matches the Rfam family "Bacterial small subunit ribosomal RNA", at positions 28 to 507 of the family's 1533-position model. The record is from RNAcentral.